GCGGGCUUGGCGUAGCGGUAACGUACCACCUUGCCAUGGUGGGGUCGAGGGUUCGACUCCCUCAGCCCGCUCCA
This 74-nucleotide transfer RNA is filed under the name marine sediment metagenome. RNAcentral's name for it is "tRNA-Gly". It matches the Rfam family "tRNA". From Rfam's summary of the family: Transfer RNA (tRNA) molecules are approximately 80 nucleotides in length. Their secondary structure includes four short double-helical elements and three loops (D, anti-codon, and T loops). The record is from RNAcentral.